This 1233-nucleotide ribosomal RNA is filed under the name Triticum aestivum (bread wheat). RNAcentral describes it as "partial small subunit ribosomal RNA". The record is from RNAcentral. Lineage: Eukaryota; Viridiplantae; Streptophyta; Magnoliopsida; Poales; Poaceae.
AUGGCCUCGGUUGGUGCGGUGCGUCCUUCCUCGCGCUUCCAGAAUGACACGAGUACUAGUGGUGAUGCCGACCGACUUCCGAACGAGAUGGGCAGUAUGAGCAUAAGGGAUGACAGGGACACUGAAGAUAUAGUAGUCAACGGCAAUGGGACGGAACCGGGCCAUAUUAUAGUCACAAGCAUUGAGGGAAGAAAUGGGCAAGCAAAACAGACCAUUAGCUACAUGGCUGAGCGCGUGGUUGGUAAUGGGUCAUUUGGAACUGUUUUCCAGGCCAAGUGUCUUGAAACUGGCGAGACAGUGGCUAUAAAGAAGGUUCUUCAAGACAAGAGAUACAAGAACCGUGAGCUGCAAACGAUGCGAGUUCUUGACCACCCAAAUGUUGUGGCUUUAAAGCAUUGUUUUUUCUCAAAGACUGAGAAGGAGGAGCUUUACCUCAACCUGGUGCUUGAGUAUGUUCCGGAGACUGCUCAUCGUGUCAUUAAGCAUUACAACAAGAUGAACCAACGCAUGCCCCUGAUAUAUGCAAAACUGUACAUGUAUCAGAUAUGUAGAUCUUUGGCAUACAUUCACAACAGCAUUGGAGUAUGUCACAGAGAUAUUAAGCCUCAAAAUCUUCUGGUGAAUCCACAUACUCAUCAGUUGAAAUUAUGUGACUUUGGAAGCGCGAAAGUGCUGGUAAAAGGAGAGCCAAAUAUUUCCUAUAUCUGUUCAAGGUACUAUAGAGCCCCAGAGCUCAUAUUUGGUGCUACUGAAUACACAACAGCAAUUGAUGUUUGGUCUGCUGGCUGUGUUCUUGCUGAACUCCUUCUAGGACAGCCUAUAUUCCCUGGGGACAGUGGUGUUGAUCAGCUUGUUGAAAUCAUCAAGGUUUUAGGUACCCCUACACGAGAAGAAAUUAAGUGCAUGAAUCCAAAUUAUACUGAGUUUAAAUUCCCGCAAAUCAAAGCUCACCCAUGGCACAAGAUCUUCCAUAAAAGAAUGCCUGCUGAAGCAGUAGAUCUUGUCUCCAGACUCUUGCAAUAUUCACCAAGCCUGCGUUCAACUGCUUUGGAAGCAUUAAUUCAUCCAUUCUUCGAUGAACUUCGGGACCCAAACACCCGCUUACCGAACGGCCGUUUUCUUCCUCCACUCUUUAACUUCAAGCCCCAUGAGUUGAAGGGCGUGCCGAUGGACAUCCUGGUGAAGCUCAUCCCUGAACAUGCUCGGAAGAACUGUGCCUUUGUAGGAUGGUGA